Molecule: long non-coding RNA, 7054 nt
Organism: Cygnus olor (mute swan)
Lineage: Eukaryota; Metazoa; Chordata; Aves; Anseriformes; Anatidae
Exons: 2
Source: RefSeq, a predicted model, not a curated record
UGCAAGAGAUCAGCGUGAGGCAGCAGAAGACUAAGGAAGACUCCACUUCACAGUCACGGUGCUGCUGCAGCUUAGACCUAACGCUGGGAGAGACCUACGUCUUCUGCCAAAAAUGCAACUGCUGUUGUGGUGGCUCAGCUGUGCAGGAAGAUCAGAGGGUCAUCACUGGGUCACACCACACAAAGAGGAAAGCAGAAGUUGCUUCCUCCCGGCACAACACUGCAGUGCCUGCGCAGCAUCUGGCCCACACGGCUGCGAGGUGGGUUCAGCUCCCAGCACACAGCAUCACCUUCCUGGCCUCCUCGCGAAGCUCUGCGCUAGACUCCAAGCAGGAAAUCCAGAGAGUGCAUUAGUUAAACCAAAAUGAAGUCCAAGCAUGGUGGUCACAGUGCUGUCACACUGCAGGACUUUAAGUGUUAAGUGAUGAACAGCGACAGGGUGACACCGAUAACCGUAAGGACCCACCUAACCCAACCUCCUUUCUGUGACACGACCAGUGCCUGGAAACAUUACCUCUGCUGGUCAUGGACAAACAUGGAAGCUCACUCUCACAAGCUAUUAAGAUUUGUGAUUUUUAUCCCAAAUAGCUUUCAUGAACCCUGUUCAGUUCUUCCAAGGACAAUGGGGAUAGGGGAGAGGCCAAAGGGUUGUCUACUGAGCAGUGCCUGUAGAGAAGUAGGUUGCUUACUUUUGCAAUCCCUGCCUGGCUUCAUCUGUUCUCUUUCCUGUCUUUUUUUUUUGCCCCUCUUUUGAUGUAGGGGCACGGUAUGCUCUGCACAGCCAUUAGCAAAGUGGGCUUUAAUUCCUUUUGAAACCUCUAGAUGCUACUGUCACACAAACCAACCGUGGGGAGGAAGCAGCCUGCUCGCAGCAGAGCAACACCCUCCUCCCCUGCCUGCCUCAGGAGAGCGCAGGGAAGUGCAACCCCAGAGCGUCAGCUCGGGCUAACCCUAGUUUAGAGCAUUUGACAUUUGGAACCUGAACCUGUGAAGUACUGAGAAUGGGCUGUACUUAACAUUUUUGAUGUUAAAACAAAAUGCAAUUCACAGGCUUUUAUUUCAAGCAGCAGAGCCCUCUGCUGUCAUUUCACACUGGCUGCUCGGUGAGUGGCAGUUCUGGCUCCGAACAAAUGUACGCUGCUGCUAUGCAGGCUUGCCUUCACAGCCCUGUUAUGGGCUUUGCUGAAGAGCAAGCAGUUUUAAGUAUAAGCUAUAGAAACAAAAAAACAACAACAAAUUAGAAGAAGAAUUUUUGCAACUGUGAGUUACAAUGUAUCAAGUACUAAUUUCAUAGCAGCCACAUCUCAUCUUCAAAUUUUCAUUACACGUGCCAUUUUCAAACAUCUGAUCAAAAUACCUUUUGCUUGCAUGACUCUAGGGAUGCAGUAAAACUGUUCUUCCAUAAUUAAAAGAUCACUUAAUGCCCUCCAGUUUCAUGGUGACACUGUCAAAACGAGAAGACCCGAUCUCGUUAACCUAGCAGCAAUUGAAGAGAUUGGCAAAGCCAGCUUCAGGUAAUUUGCUUUGGCUUUGAAAGCCUGAUAAGACAAUGUUCAGUAGGAUCUCACUUGGGUCUAUCUUCAGAUGGGAGACACUACAUAAAGUGUGCAAUAUUCCUAAAUAAUUUGUUUUCCUUUUUUAAACUUGAAUAAGACUAUUAACAGAAACUCUCAAGAGUCCUGCUUCUAUGAACACACCUUUUUUUUUUUCCUUGUAAACAGAGAGACUCCUACUCAUUCAGGGCCAGUUAAAACAAACAGUUAGGAAUAACACACUGCAAAAGAGUUCCAUCUAAGUAUUUAUGUCUUCCUGACCUCAGCAGUCAGCCAAAAUUUAGAGCCCUGUUCGCUACUUCUGUGUAAAGGAAAACUCACAAUGGACACAAACAUUUAUUUGAUGUCACAGUAUUAAUUUACAAAAAAUACUAGAAGUCUUAAUUCACUGAAAGCAGGAAGAAUAACUACUAUUUUUUUUUUCCAACUGCUCUAAAUAUCACAUAGGGAGAGACUAGAGCCAGAAAAAGUGGCAGGUAUAUCUGCAUUCAUCCAGAUCUUCAUAGUCAGUCUGAGACAUGGAACUGUCAACGACUGAUGAUGCAUCUGUUCUUAGUUAAAACCUUGGAGAUUAGGAAAACUAGGUUUUAGUAGACUGGAAGUUAUACUGUACCUCCCUGGAAUCAUCUAGGCCAGCUUUGGUUGGAGGAAAGAGCCCAACUUCCUUUACAAAAGGCUUUUGGUGAGAAUAACCUGCAGUGAGGAGACAGCACGGUGGAGGAAUGCAGUUCUAUAAACCACUUUUAACCUUGUUCAGCACACAUUUAUUUAUUGCCUCAAACCAGAUGACUGAUGGGCUACAAGGAGGUGGCCUCUGAAAGAAAAGCUUAGUGGUCUGAUUGAGAUACUCUACAGCACGUGGAAGUCUAAGCUGCUCCAUCUGCGUGCAUUUGUCAUACACUGAAGUAAGGCACAAAGAUCCCAGUCUAAGUCUGGCUGCAACAGUCACGUUACCCUAACACUAUGCCUUAACUCUACAGACCUAACAGCAAGGGACGUGUACACCUAGAGUAGCAUUUGGAGAAUACGUCCAUGGUCUGUCAUUCUCUGGAGCACUCCUGAUGCAAGCUCCCACAAAACCCCAUGGACUUGCUGCUGCUCCUACAAAUGUCAUUUUGAGCCCAGCUCUUCAGAUCAUGCAUUCCCGUUCAGUUAUUUUUACAGCCAGUGAGAGAAGAGAAAUGGAAAUUUUCAGGAGACUUGUAACUCAUACAGACCUGCACAAAAUUUCAGAGAGACGCAUCUAAUUCCCAAGACUGCAUCCUGGGGCUGGAUUUCAAAUGCCUGCUGCCAACAGAAGCUGAGUAAGAGUACUUAGGAAAGCUUGAGUGAUUACUUUAGAGUGGAAAUGUUAAGACAGCCUAAAUAUAGAGGUUGCUACCAUCUCUAUGCACUCAUUACCAUAGCAUCACACUCCUAAUUGUCUUGCCUGUCUCACAGAGGAAGAUCAAAUAUAGUGCACUGCAAAAAGAGAAAAGUAAUGCUGGAAACCACUUGUAGCAAACCACACUUCUGGACCGAGGACCAAUUCCAUUCUAUCAAUUUCAGACAAGUGAACUCCACAACAUACCAGAACAUCAGCAGACAGAACUGAUGCCCCUUGCUUCAUCCUGGUUGUGUUUUCAUGGGCUGUGAAUAUUAAACUCCAUUUCUGACAGAGUAGUCUACUACAGCAGUUCUCAGUUAGGGUGAAUCACCGCUACACUGAAGUAUUGCACAUAGAAAGCAGCAGCCCACAAAAAGGAAGUCUUUGCUUGAGUUCUGGCCUAAGCGAGCAGUCAUACAUUGCGGGGAUGUUUUCUUCUCCUCAAUCUUAUAGGCAAUGAGUUUUUCUAUAUCAUUAAAGAAAGAAACUGAGUCAGGAAAAACAACCACCCUAAAAACUUCUACCAAAAACUGUUUCAAGACUUCAACACCAUUCUCAGAAAUGAUGUUCAAAUACAACUGCCAGCAGCCUGCUUGCACUACAGUUCACUGGAAAACAAAGGGUAGAAAACCCAAUAUGCUUUGCCUUGUAAAAACAACUGUAUUUAACCAGAAAUUUCAGACAGAUUAAACAUAAGACAUCCCUGAUAUGUAUCCAGGAACCAAGACACUUGGCAUCAUCUCUCAUGAAUUACGAGGAAAAAAAAAAUGUGAAAAAUCUGUGAGCAAGAAACUCACCAGCAAGAGCUGGUGUAAGACUUAGGUGUAUGUAUGUUCAUCAUGGAAGAAAAAAAUCCAGCGUAACAGCUUUCAGAAGACAGGAUUGAUUUCAUGGAGGUUUGAUUGUUAGGGCUAAAAUUUAAUUGCUUGAGCUUUCCUAACUUUCCUAUAGCCAGAGGGAGAAAUUCACUAAAAAACAUUUUGAAAUAUAGAAGAAAAGCCCACUGCUUUAUCUGCAACAUGCACAAAAUUCCCCGGGGUUAUGGAUUCUCUAUAACCCAAAGCUGCACUGCCUUAAAUAUUGGCAACACGUCAUUAUACAGAAGUUCUCUCUCCAGAGGCAAUGCUGUUCAGGUUUACCACCAUCCUGUUCAGUAACUGUAGCAGAAACAAAACAGUUAUUGAAUGAAAAGGAAGUCAAUCAGAGGACUGCGGACCUCAGAGGAAAUUCCCUGGAAUACAUCUAGUUUUCUUGAUGUUGUUGGUAGUUCCUCACAACUAGCAUGUAGCUUAUAAUAAUUAAUACCACCAGGUUAGUAUGCAUAACAGUAACAACAUCGGGUUAGUAUGCAUUUGUCCUUUAUUCCAGAGUCAGUAUAGUUUAGCACUGUAGCAACAUCUGGGACUGGAAAAUACCUUUAUCUUAAAAGAAAAGUCCCACAGCAACGUUUUAUGGUUUUAUCAAAGAAGUAGAAGCUUAAUUGUAGAGUUGCAAACUGAACUCUGCACUGAAUUGAAUGUGAGUAAUGUACAACUAGCUCUAAAGAGCUCUUUAAAAAGGAAGUGAGCAUGGCAUACUAUUCAGAUGAAGUGGUCUGAUCAGGAAUGCUGACCUGUUGCAAAAAUCAGAACUUUCAUUUAGGUGCUUAAGUAGAAAAGGAGUUCUGCUGAAAAUGUGACCACUGAUCUCUUCAUGCUUCAAAUGUAACAGAAGGAUGAUGCCUUUUUUUCCCCCUCCAUGCAAGUAUCAGAAGAGAAAGGACGAUUUGCAGCACCAUCUAAUCAGGCAACAGCCAGCAGAGUUGCCUUCCAACAGAAUUAUGAAAGCAACUUUUUGUUCUAGAGGGAUCUUGCAGCUAAGAAACAAGAUUACAUCUAGUGGUUCAAACAGAUUUGUAGAAAAUUGAAAGUGGGAUCCCUUGACCUCCCAGCUGAAAGCAAUAUGUUAACUGAUUCACUGGACGAGCCUCUCCACUCAUCUGGUCUCAUGGCACUGAAUGCCCCCGGAUACACAAAGCCACGCAGACACACUGAGUUAUGCCAGAGCCCUCCUUGGUUACACCCAGAACUGUUCUGCCACAACAGCUGUCCCAGGCCAGCACACAGGCUCCAUGUUUCUGCUGAAACCACCAGCAGUGAUGUGGCCAACAAGAAUUGACAUUUGGGGCCAAUGUUCUGAGCACUGCGUUUUUAAACUCUGACUCCAGCAGCGCAGAUGAUGAAAAAAGUACAGAGUGUUGCACGCAUCCCUACGGGGGGGCUCCUGCGCCAAAAUUGCCCUAUUCCUGUGCAUAUGGAGAGCCAGAGACACGGUUUAAACAGCUUCAAGUUUUGCUUGUCUUCAAAAUUCCCAUGUAAAGACUCAAAGUUUCCCAAAGGACACCUGUUAAGAUACCAUUUAUAACCAUUCACAGCUGGAGUGAUUUUGAUUUUUCUUUGGCUUCUGCAGAAUUGAAUGUUUAAUUAAAGGACCACCCCUACUGACAAGAAGAUAGGGUUUAAAUGCUACCAUCCUCAGCUAAAGUUAAAAAAAAAUCUUUCUCCAGGGUAAGGAAAAAAAAGCUACUAUUACAGACUGAAAAUUAAAUUUAGUAAUCUUUCCAUGAAAGAAAAAACUUCUUCCCUCCUCUUUAAGCAUUUAUUUCUGAGAAAUUUUAAGCCCUACGGAACUAGAAAUUAAAGAAAUUUUAAAGCUCAGCCGGUUUGAAAUACGGGAAUAUGCCUAGUGCUGCUUAUGGGAAGAGGCAUGUGCCCUUCUGAAGUUUUAAACAGGUUUAUUUUCUUUUCCACAAGGGCAAAAACUGGCAGCAAGAAACACCUUGACAGGUUAUGGCUGUAUGCAAUUAAAUAGUGUUCCUUAGAUAAUCAAUCCCUGGCACUUUCAUAAGUCACUAGGGUGGAAUAACAUCGUUUUCCCUAACUGCACACACCUCUUCGAAACUGUACCAGCCUUAAUAUUCCCUGCUGGCUCUCCUGUUCCAACUCAUUACAUUUUAUACUUCCCCACUUCAGCCUUAAACUGAAAUCAAGAACUGCAACCGUCAAUCACUGCUCUGCUCAGAGUCCUUUCUUAACCUGUGGUCUGAACUGGAAGUUUCACAAGCCUGCAUUUACCACAGUCGUGAUGUCCAAUAAAUUGCACGAUGGUUCAGAUCGGUUGCCAAUACAUCCUUCAGCUCUAAGAAGCAACUUCCACAUUGUUUGGUACAUCUGCUUCAUCUCCUCUAAGUGAAAUUGUAAUGAAGUUAGGAAAGAGCAGUUCUAUUUAGAACUGCCAAGAAAGUAGAAAAACAAGGGUACAUUCUUAGAGAUCUCAGGAACAAACAGGUAACCAAAAGGCAUCUGAAUACACAAAUUUACAGCAGUAAGAGAACUGAAAGCUGAACAAACUUUUAAACCUUCCAUGUACAACCCGUGCCUGAGGGUGUGGGGGACUUCUCAUGGGAUGCAUUCAGUGAUACAGGAAUGAUUUGUUUCUUGACAAUCUGAUGCCCCUUGUGCGAGUUACAGAAGAGACAGGAGGAAAAGAAAAAAACACCAUAGAAAUUCUUUCCUUGUGGUAGCAGGCAAAUUAAUAGGGGUAUAACUGUUUCAGAAUUACCUCUUCAUUUCCCUAUUAAUUUGAAAUCUUUUUCAUGCCACAGCGCAACACAAAGCAAUCAUGGUGUUAGAACAAAUACUGAGAUCAGAAUGAAACACAGUUUAGUCAAAGAUAAUAAGUGCCUAAACAGGUUUUCAAGUAGUUAGCUGGUUAAGUCCAGUGGCUUUUUUUUUUUUUUUUAAUCCCAGACACAUAUACAGCCAGUUAAAAUGGCUCAGCUGAUUCACAUAAAUUUGCUGGCAUGCUUCAACCAUCAGAUGAACUUUCAAGGCAGAAGCAUGAGGGUCCUAGAAGGGCACAAUAUCCUGGACUCAAGCCAGCCAACCAACAGAAAUAUAUUACUAAUCUUUGCUUGCAUAAGUAUGAUUGAGGUUCUCAGGACUGUCACAAUACUUAUGGUUUCUCUGCAUGCACCCUGUUUAUGCCUGACAAAAGUUGAAGGGGAAUGGAGAAGUCAUAAGUUAUCUUUUAUUAAUCUUCCACUAAGAAAUAACAUGCUUUGCUUCACAGAAAAGAAUUCUUGCACAAAGAAUUAA